RNAcentral lists this ribosomal RNA (412 nucleotides) under uncultured bacterium. RNAcentral's name for it is "bacterial SSU rRNA". It matches the Rfam family "Bacterial small subunit ribosomal RNA", at positions 94 to 518 of the family's 1533-position model. The record is from RNAcentral.
AGUGGCGGACGGGUGAGUAACGCGUGGGUAACCUGCCUCAGUACAGGGGGAUAACAGUUAGAAAUGACUGCUAACACCGCAUAAUAUAGCGAAACCGCAUGAUUUUUGCUAUCAAAAUAGUUUAUAGGUAUGAGAUGGGGCCCGCGUCUGAUUAGCUAGUUGGUGGGGUAAAAGCCUACCAAGGCGACGAUCAGUAGCCGGCUUGAGAGAGUGACCGGCCACAUUGGGACUGAGACACGGCCCAAACUCCUACGGGAGGCAGCAGUGGGGAAUAUUGGACAAUGGGGGAAACCCUGAUCCAGCCGACGCCGCGUGAGUGAAGAAGUAUUUCGGUAUGUAAAGCUCUAUCAGCAGGGAAGAUAAUGACAGUACCUGACUAAGAAGCCCCGGCUAACUACGUGCCAGCCGCCGC